AAAUCCUAAAAUUCUUCAUAGAAGUGAAAACAUAGUAGAAACUCCAACAAGCCUCAAAAUGCCGUUGCACAUUAUUUCAUCAAAGAGGCUACAUCUUUGAAUGUGUACCUGGACUCGAGAUUAUAACGAAAAAACAGAGUCAGUCAAGGCAGGAAGGAUUAACAGCAGCAAUGUGAACUCAACAGCCACAAAAUUAAAUAAGCUUGAACCCACAAUACACAUAUAGAACCCAUGAGUGUUUUAAAAUCAAGCAACACCACUCAAAUAAACCCAGAAUCAACUGAAUAUUAACCAAUGAACCCCAAUAACUUCAGCGAGCAAGUAACAAACUAGGACAGGCAAUUCAGUAUCUAGAAAUCUAAAGCUAUUCGAUGGAACAGUAAGUAUUUUUGAUUUUCAAAUUUGUUUUGUUUUUUUGGUUUUGAAAUUUGAAUUUUUUACUUCAGAUUGGAAAAACUAAGAGGGAAAGCUUUCGAAGGCUAGAUGGCUGAAAGAGAUGUAUGGUUUUUUGGGAGGAAUUCCAUUGUUUUUGGGGUUUUGAAGUGUUAUUUUCAGAUCUUAGAUCUGAAACUUGGAGAGCACACUUUGGAAGAAUUUUU
This 599-nucleotide long non-coding RNA is filed under the name Nicotiana benthamiana. RNAcentral describes it as "long non-coding RNA (NBEN_LNC020197)". Lineage: Eukaryota; Viridiplantae; Streptophyta; Magnoliopsida; Solanales; Solanaceae. The record is from RNAcentral.